Molecule: ribosomal RNA, 735 nt
Filed under: marine metagenome
Description: bacterial SSU rRNA
Rfam family: Archaeal small subunit ribosomal RNA
Source: RNAcentral
GAUACCCGGGUAGUCCUAGGUGUAAACGCUGUGGACUUGAUGUUGGGGGUGCUCCGAGCACUCUCAGUGUCGAAGCGAAGGUGAUAAGUCCACUGCCUGGGAAGUACGGUCGCAAGGCUGAAACUUAAAGGAAUUGGCGGGGGAGCACCGCAACCUGAGGAUUGUGCGGUUUAAUUGGAUUCAACGCCGGAAAACUCACCAUAGCCGACGGACAAAUGAAGGUCAGUGUAAUGAACUUACCGGAUUGUUCGAGAGGUAGUGCAUGGCCGCCGUCAGUUCGUACCGCAAGGCGUUCUGUUAAGUCAGAUAACGAACGAGACCCUCAUCUCUAUUUGCUAGCUAAAUCUCCGGAUUUAGUGCACUAUAGAGAGACCGCUGGCGCUAAGUCAGAGGAAGGGGAGGGCAACGGUAGGUCAGUAUGCUCCGAAUGCUAUGGGCUACACGCGCAAUACAAAGGACGGGACAAUGGGCUGCUGCUCCGAAAGGAACGAUAGCUAUCCCGAAACCCGUUCGUAGUUCGGAUUGAGGGCUGUAACUCGCCCUCAUGAAGCUGGAUUAGGUAGUAAUCGCGUCUCAAAAAGGCGCGGUGAAUAUGCCCCUGCUCCUUGCACACACCGCCCGUCAAACCAUCUUAGUUGUGGGUGGGUGAGGCUACCUCUCAAUGGGGUAUUCGAGCCUGCCUUCGACGAGGAGGGUUAAGUCGUAACAAGGUAUCUGUAGGGGAACCUGCAGAUG